Molecule: ribosomal RNA, 250 nt
Filed under: uncultured Eubacteriales bacterium
Lineage: Bacteria; Bacillati; Bacillota; Clostridia; Eubacteriales
Description: uncultured Clostridiales bacterium partial 16S ribosomal RNA
Rfam family: Bacterial small subunit ribosomal RNA
Source: RNAcentral
UACAUAUGGGGCGAGCGUUAUCCGGAUUUAUUGGGUGUAAAGGGUGCGUAGGCGGGAAAAUAAGUCAGUAUGUGAAAUCCCUCGGCUCAACUGAGGAACUGCAACUGAAACUAUUUUUCUUGAGUGUUGAAGGGGAAAGUGGAAUUCCUAGUGUAGCGGUGAAAUGCGUAGAGAUUAGGAGGAACACCAGUGGCGAAGGCGACUUUCUGGGCAACAACUGACGCUGAGGCACGAAAGUGUGGGGAGCAAA